This is a non-coding RNA of Cavia porcellus (domestic guinea pig), 526 nucleotides long. NCBI's taxonomy places the organism in Eukaryota, Metazoa, Chordata, Mammalia, Rodentia, Caviidae. The record is from the annotation of a RefSeq genome assembly.
UCAGUGCAGCUGCACAGAUGCUAUAAGAGAAGACUUCUCAGUAGGGUCUGAACUACAUCACAACAGAAGGAACAGCAAGAUGGUUUCCCAGAUCCCAAUCCUCCUGGCUGUAUUUCUCUGGAUCUCUGGUGUCUGCAGUGACAUUGUGAUGACCCAGUCUCCAGCCUCCCUGGCAGUGUCUCCUGGAGAAAGUGCUACCAUCCACUGCAAGUCUAGCCAGAGCCUUCUAUACAGUGGUAACAACAAGAACUACUUAUCCUGGUACCAGCAGAAACUAGGGCAAACUCCCAAACUGCUCAUCUACUUGGCAUCCACCCGAGAAACUGGGAUCCCAGAACUGUUCAGCGGCAGUGGGUCUGGCACAGAUUUCACUCUCACCAUCAGCAGCCUGCAGCCUGAAGAUGUGGCAGAUUAUUACUGCCUGCAGCAUUAUAGUUCUCCCACAGUGAUUCAGCCCCAAACAUAAACUUCCUCUCAGAAUCCCUCCAGCUGCUUGCUCACUGCGCAGCCCAAGACUUCAACACUU